UUUAUUUUUAGAAGAAACUUUUAAAUGUUGUGAAGAUAUAUUAAUUUUAGCCAUGAUUAUGUAUGUCAUUUUAUAAUCUAAUACUUUUAUGAUGUAUUUAAAUGGGUUUUGAUGGUUGCAAACUCCAUCGGAAAUUUGAAUUGAGAUAAUGACCAUAUCUUGAGGAAAAUAUUUUUUUUUUUUUAAAAAAGGGGGUUGGGGUUAUUAAAAAUAAAUUAGGGGGGUAAGAUUACAGAAAAUUGGAAAGAAAGGGGACGGGUGGGGAUAAACAAUUUAUUUGGGGGAAUUUUUCUUCAAGAUUUCUUAUUUCAAAUCGUAUAACCAAUUUUAAGUUCUUUGACUACAGUUAUUCUGUGUCAAAAACCUAUAAUGUGUCCAAUUUUGUCCCAACUGUUCAGGGUUGAACCUAUACGGUUAAAGUUUUUUUAGGUUUUUACCCCAAUUUUCACGGUCAACUUAACAUAUA
This 466-nucleotide long non-coding RNA is filed under the name Mytilus galloprovincialis (Mediterranean mussel). The record is from RNAcentral. Lineage: Eukaryota; Metazoa; Mollusca; Bivalvia; Mytilida; Mytilidae.